CUUGAUGGAACCGACCAGAAGCGGCCGCUCCGCGUCACGCCCCUGGCCGUAGGUGGCCAGCAGCGCGUUCGCCUC
RNAcentral lists this antisense RNA (75 nucleotides) under Actinopolyspora alba. Its description in RNAcentral is "ASpks TB sRNA". It matches the Rfam family "ASpks TB sRNA". Lineage: Bacteria; Bacillati; Actinomycetota; Actinomycetes; Actinopolysporales; Actinopolysporaceae. The record is from RNAcentral.